UACGGAGGAUCCGAUCGUUAUCCGGAUUUAUUGGGUUUAAAGGGUGCUCAGGCGGGCCAUUAAGUCGGCGGUGAAAUUUUGCGGCUCAACCGUAAAAGUGCCUUCGAUACUGGUGGUCUUGAGUGUGGAUGAGGUAGGCGGAAUUUGUGGUGUAGCGGUGAAAUGCAUAGAUAUCACGAGGAACUCCGAUUGCGCAGGCAGCUUACUAAACUACUACUGACGCUCAGGCACGAAGGCGUGGGGAUCAAACAGGAUUAGAUACCCCUGUA
Molecule: ribosomal RNA, 269 nt
Filed under: uncultured prokaryote
Description: partial 16S ribosomal RNA
Rfam family: Bacterial small subunit ribosomal RNA
Source: RNAcentral